UUCGAUACGGCUCAGUAACACGUGGUUAACCUGCCCUUGGGACGGAAACACCCCCGGGAAACUGGGGCUAAUUUCCGAUACGUGAAGGCUCCUGGAAUGGAUCUUCGCCUAAAGGGCGCUUAGGCCAUGCUUCCAGGCGCUGCCCAAGGAUGGGGCCGCGGCCGAUCAGGUUGUUGGUGAGGUAAUGGCUCACCAAGCCUUUAACCGGUUCGGGCCGUGGGAGCGGGAGCCCGGAGAUGGGCACUGAGACAAGGGCCCAGGCCCUACGGGGCGCAGCAGUCGCGAAAACUCCGCAAUACGCGAAGGCGUGACGGGGCUAUCCCGAGUGCCGUCCGCUGAGGAUGGCUUUUCCCCAGUGUAGAUAGCUGGGGGAAUAAGGAGAGGGCAAGUCUGGUGUCAGCCGCCGCGGUAAUACCAGCUCUCCGAGUGGUGGGGACGUUUAUUGGGCCUGAAGCAUCCGUAGCCAGCUGAGCAAGUCCCCAGUUAAAUCCAGCGAUUUAAUCGUUGGACUGCUGGGGAUACUGUCCGGCUAGGGGGUGGGAGAGGCCGACGGUAUUCCCGGGGUAGGGGUGAAAUCCUAUAAUCCCGGGAGGACCACCAGUGGCGAAGGCUGUUGGCUAGAACAUGCCCGACGGUGAGGGAUGAAAGCUGGGGGAGCGAACCGGAUUAGAUACCCGGGUAGUCCCAGCUGUAAACGAUGCAGGCUAGGUGUUAGGGCGGCCACGUGCCGCUCUAGUGCCGCAGGGAAGCUGUUAAGCCUGCCGCCUGGGGAGUACGGCCGCAAGGCUGAAACUUAAAGGAAUUGGCGGGGGAGCACAA
RNAcentral lists this ribosomal RNA (819 nucleotides) under uncultured crenarchaeote. RNAcentral describes it as "bacterial SSU rRNA". It matches the Rfam family "Archaeal small subunit ribosomal RNA", at positions 79 to 881 of the family's 1478-position model. Lineage: Archaea; Thermoproteati; Thermoproteota. The record is from RNAcentral.